Molecule: ribosomal RNA, 468 nt
Filed under: uncultured bacterium
Lineage: Bacteria
Description: partial 16S ribosomal RNA
Rfam family: Bacterial small subunit ribosomal RNA
Source: RNAcentral
GACGAACGCUGGCGGCGUGCUUAACACAUGCAAGUCGAACGGAAAGGCACUGAGUUUUUGGGGUGCUCGGGUGCCGAACGCGUGCGGAACACGUGAGUAACCUGCCCUUGACUUUGGGGUAACUUCAGGAAACUGGGGCUAAUAUCGUAUCGGAGCUCCUCCUCCGUGGUGGGGGUUGGAAAGUUUCAGCGGUUGUGGAUGGACGAGCGGAUUAUCAGCUUGUUGGUGGGGUAGUGGCUUACCAAGGCUUUGACGGGUAGCCGGCCUGGGAGCGUGAACGGGCACAUGGGGACUGAGAGACGCACCAGAGGCGUAUGGGGGACAGCAGGGGGAAACAUGGCACAAUGGGCCGAAGCCUGAUGCAGCAACGUCGGGUUCGGGAUGACGGUUUUCGGGUUGUAAACCGCUUCCGCUUGUGACGACGCGUGAGUGACGGUAAUGGGUAAAGAAGCACCGGCUAACUACGUG